This 310-nucleotide long non-coding RNA is filed under the name Elaeis guineensis (African oil palm). Its description in RNAcentral is "long non-coding RNA (EGUI_LNC037499)". The record is from RNAcentral. Lineage: Eukaryota; Viridiplantae; Streptophyta; Magnoliopsida; Arecales; Arecaceae.
GACCUAGGAUUUAACUGCCAACCUCGAUAUGAUCAUCCAUAUUAUAUUUUAAUUUUCAAAAUUCAUCACAUGUAUUAGUCUGACCAAGGUUUUACUGAAUUAAAACACACUGAUACAUUAACUCCUACUUAUUCGGAGGGGCCAAUUCCAUCUUGACUCACAUACCAACUUCGCAAGUCCUUGACUAUGUCCAAAAACCUUUCAUUACUAAAUUAAAAAUUUAGGUAGUCCGACACCAAAGCAUAGUGAGUUGCUUGCAAGUCACCAUGGUGAUCUCAGAUCGGAGGGACAUUUAUAUCCAUAUCCUUCG